This 460-nucleotide ribosomal RNA is filed under the name uncultured bacterium. RNAcentral describes it as "partial 16S ribosomal RNA". It matches the Rfam family "Bacterial small subunit ribosomal RNA", at positions 338 to 795 of the family's 1533-position model. The record is from RNAcentral.
CCUACGGGUGGCAGCAGUGAGGAAUAUUGGUCAAUGGCCGUAAGGCUGAACCAGCCAAGUAGCGUGAGGGAUGACGGCCCUAUGGGUUGUAAACCUCUUUUGUGCGGGGAUAAAGGUGUCCACGUGUGGAUGUUUGCAGGUACCGCAUGAAUAAGGACCGGCUAAUUCCGUGCCAGCAGCCGCGGUAAUACGGAAGGUCCGGGCGUUAUCCGGAUUUAUUGGGUUUAAAGGGAGCGUAGGCCGGUCUUUAAGCGUGCCAUGAAAUUUUGUGGCUAAACCCUGAGACUGCGGCGCGAACUGGCGACCUUGAGUGGGCGAAAGGCAGGCGGAAUUCGUGGUGUAGCGGUGAAAUGCUUAGAUAUCGCGAAGAACCCCGAUUGCGAAGGCAGCAUGCCGGAGCGUUACUGACGCUGAAGCUCGAAAGCGCGGGUAUCGAACAGGAUUAGAUACCCCAGUAGUC